UCGACACUUUUUAUUUCAUCAAUAUACUACAAAACUUAACACCAUACACUUGCGGUUAAAUCACAUUACAUAAAUCUUGCGGCACCUUCCCUUCAAAGCAGAUGGCUGCAACUUCUAAUUUCUCCUAUUCAGAUAUAUGGGUGAGGCCAAAAUAUCGUUCAGCUUUGAAGACCCAGGUCAUCUUCAAACUCGGAACUUCCAACCUUCGAUUACGAAACUCUGGUCUCCACCAGCCUACUCCUCCAUCCUCGUUUUCUUCUUCUGUUGGCAUCGUAACUCCGGAUUUAAUAGUAAACCCGGUCGAAGGAGCCUCUUUUGUCCCUUUUCCUUUCCGUUCCUUCUCACAUUCCUCCCAAUGGCCCACGAUAAAUUUAAAUUGCUCCAUCAACAAGCUCAUGUCCUUUUCUAUGUUUUGCACCCUCUGCAUCUCAGCCUUCGUUGAAUCCUGCCUGCCCGAAAUGCGGCCAGUCUCCCCUCCAGGUUGCGAUGAUAACUUUCCAAUUUCCCUACCCAAUCGGUCAACAUCAUAUUCAUGAAUUUGCUUUGAUACCAAAACGAUAAGUUCCCCACUAGUUGAACACCAUAUCACAAUACAAAGGAACUCAAAAUGAUGAUGAUGAUGAUGAUGAUGAUGAUGAUGAUGAUGAUGAUGAUAAUCAAAAAGAAGAAUGUUUCCUUGAUAAUAAACUGAAUGGAUACAACCAAGAAUAGAUGCAGAAUGCUUAAAGGAAAUGAAAGAGAAAACAAAGGAUAGUUGGACUUUUGAGAUGUCCAAACUCUCCUGCUAGAGAUUUCCACUUACUUCCUGGCCUUCUCCUAAUUUCUUCCCACUUAUAUACUUGAGACUCCAUAAUAGCUUACCCAACUGAAUUUGUUGUGCCCGUGUGCAGCCCCUUUUUUGGUUGGUUUUUAUGCGCCUCUCGAGGACACCAAUACAAAACAAAAUAGGGGAGGCCCAAUAGAAUUCUUUCUCCCACACACCUUUGCCCUCUUUCAUCGAGAAGGAAAGAAAUUCUUCGAUUGAAUGAUAAGAACAAAAAAGUGGACAAAUCCGAUCAAUGGUCCUAGUCAGCAGCACGAGGACUUUCU
This 1089-nucleotide long non-coding RNA is filed under the name Olea europaea subsp. europaea. Lineage: Eukaryota; Viridiplantae; Streptophyta; Magnoliopsida; Lamiales; Oleaceae. The record is from RNAcentral.